This 85-nucleotide transfer RNA is filed under the name Candidatus Anammoximicrobium sp. RNAcentral's name for it is "tRNA-Ser". The record is from RNAcentral. Lineage: Bacteria; Pseudomonadati; Planctomycetota; Planctomycetia; Pirellulales; Pirellulaceae.
GGAAGGGCAAGCCAACUGGCGAUGGCACCCCGCUCGAAGCGGGACGAGCUUCACAGCCUUGCGGGUUCGACUCCCGCACCUUCCG